This 253-nucleotide ribosomal RNA is filed under the name uncultured bacterium. RNAcentral's name for it is "partial 16S ribosomal RNA". It matches the Rfam family "Bacterial small subunit ribosomal RNA", at positions 524 to 776 of the family's 1533-position model. The record is from RNAcentral.
UACGGAGGGUGCAAGCGUUGUUCGGAAUUACUGGGCGUAAAGCGUGUCUAGGCGGACAUGUAAGUCAGGUGUGAAAGACCUUGGCCUAACCAAGGAAUUGCGCCUGAAACUGUGUGUCUUGAAUAAGGAAGAGGUGGGUAGAAUACCUGGUGUAGCAGUGAAAUGCGUAGAUAUCAGGUAGAACACCGGAGGCGAAGGCGGCCCACUGGUCCUUUAUUGACGCUGAAGCACGAAAGCGUGGGGAGCAAACAGG